AACAAGCGACGAGGACAACAACCGGAACUGACAAAGAAAGAAGACGAACUUCAAAAACCACCGGGGUCCAUGUCCACAAGUGAUCCAUGAAUAAAGAGACGGACGGAGACGAGGUGCAGCCACGUGAACACAAAGACACCACAACUAUGUGCCAUUGCCAUAAAUAUCACGGAGCCAGAUCUGAUGCAUGGAGCUGCAAAAUCAGGAGGAGGGAGAAGAAGAGGAGACGACAGGAGACGACAGGAGACGUCAGGACAUGAGAUUGUGACGAGUGAGACGUCUUCCCGUCCACAUGAGUGCGUCCACGCCCACGCACGUAUGACAUCAGCGGCGAGCCUGGAGGACGCCGUGACAGCCGUAUGUAAAUUGAAUAUGACUAAUCGCUCCCCUGCGUCACCUCUCGCCACCUCUGCACCGACACGAUGACGGACGGCUCUGUGUGUGUGUGCGCGUGUGUGUGGUGUGUGUG
This is a long non-coding RNA of Solea senegalensis (Senegalese sole), 469 nucleotides long. RefSeq lists it as uncharacterized. NCBI's taxonomy places the organism in Eukaryota, Metazoa, Chordata, Actinopteri, Pleuronectiformes, Soleidae. The transcript has 4 exons. The record is from RefSeq and is a predicted model, not a curated record.